UUAGGGAUUAAGGGAACCGCUGCAUUUGCAGAGGAAAGUCCGGACUCCUUCGGAAACGAUGCCGGCUAACGGCCGGGGAACGGAAAUUAAAGUUUCCGUUUACAGACAGUGCAACAGAAAGUAAACCGCCGCAUUUUGCGGUAAGGGUGAAAGGGCGGGGUAAGAGCCCACCGCGUUUUCGGUAACGGAAACGGCAAUGUAAACCUCAUCGGGAGCAAGGUUAAGCAGUAAAGAAUCUCCGAUUCUUAAUUUACGGGUUAACCGCGAUAAAAACUUGCUGUAAAGCUGGUUUAAGAAAGAUGGUUCCGUCUGUUUUACAGAAACAGAAUCCGGCUUAUUAAUCCCUUUUUAU
Molecule: RNase P RNA, 352 nt
Filed under: Treponema denticola
Lineage: Bacteria; Pseudomonadati; Spirochaetota; Spirochaetia; Treponematales; Treponemataceae
Description: RNase P RNA component class A
Rfam family: Bacterial RNase P class A
About the family: Ribonuclease P (RNase P) is a ubiquitous endoribonuclease, found in archaea, bacteria and eukarya as well as chloroplasts and mitochondria. Its best characterised activity is the generation of mature 5'-ends of tRNAs by cleaving the 5'-leader elements of precursor-tRNAs. Cellular RNase Ps are ribonucleoproteins.
Source: RNAcentral